AGAGUUUGAUCCUGGCUCAGAGCGAACGCUGGCGGCAGGCCUAACACAUGCAAGUCGAGCGCCCAGCAAUGGGAGCGGCAGACGGGUGAGUAACGCGUGGGGAUCUGCCCAAUGGUACGGAAUAACCCAGGGAAACUUGGACUAAUACCGUAUGUGCCCUUCGGGGGAAAGAUUUAUCGCCAUUGGAUGAACCCGCGUCGGAUUAGCUAGUUGGUGAGGUAAAGGCUCACCAAGGCGACGAUCCGUAGCUGGUCUGAGAGGAUGAUCAGCCACACUGGGACUGAGACACGGCCCAGACUCCUACGGGAGGCAGCAGUGGGGAAUAUUGGACAAUGGGCGCAAGCCUGAUCCAGCCAUGCCGCGUGUGUGAUGAAGGCCUUAGGGUUGUAAAGCACUUUCGCCGGUGAAGAUAAUGACGGUAACCGGAGAAGAAGCCCCGGCUAACUUCGUGCCAGCAGCCGCGGUAAUACGAAGGGGGCAAGCGUCGCUCGGAAUCACUGGGCGUAAAGCGCACGUAGGCGGGUCGUUAAGUCAGGGGUGAAAUCCUGGAG
This 551-nucleotide ribosomal RNA is filed under the name uncultured freshwater bacterium. RNAcentral's name for it is "bacterial SSU rRNA". It matches the Rfam family "Bacterial small subunit ribosomal RNA", at positions 8 to 607 of the family's 1533-position model. The record is from RNAcentral.